GACGAACGCUGGCGGCGUGCUUAACACAUGCAAGUCGAACGGUGAAGGGACCGGUUUUUGCUGGUUCUGGAUGAGUGGCGAACGGGUGAGUAACACGUGAGUAACCUGCCCCCUUCUUCUGGAUAACCGCAUGAAAGUGUGGCUAAUACGGGAUAUUCUGCGCCUGCUGCAUGGUGGGUGUGGGAAAGAUAUUGGUUCGGUGGGGGAUGGGCUCGCGGCCUAUCAGCUUGUUGGUGGGGUGAUGGCCUACCAAGGCGGGGACGGGUAGCCGGCCUGAGAGGGUGGACGGUCACACUGGGACGGAGACACGGCCCAGACUCCUACGGGAGGCAGCAGUGGGGAAUAUUGCACAAUGGGCGCAAGCCUGAUGCAGCGACGCCGCGUGAGGGAUGGAGGCCUGCGGGUUGUAAACCUCUUUCGCCAGUGAAGCAGGCCUGUCCCUUUUGUGGGUGGGUUGACGGUAGCUGGAUAAGAAGCGCCGGCUAACUACGUG
This 493-nucleotide ribosomal RNA is filed under the name uncultured bacterium. Its description in RNAcentral is "partial 16S ribosomal RNA". It matches the Rfam family "Bacterial small subunit ribosomal RNA", at positions 28 to 507 of the family's 1533-position model. The record is from RNAcentral.